AGAGUUUGAGUCCUGGCUUAGGACGAACGGCUGGCGGCGUGCUUAACACAUGCAAGUCGAGCGAUGAAGCUCUUCGGAAGUGGAUUAGCGGCGGACGGGUGAGUAACACGUGGGUAACCUGCCUCAUAGAGGGGAAUAGCCUUUCGAAAGGAAGAUUAAUACCGCAUAAGAUUGUAAUGUCGCAUGACAUAGCAAUUAAAGGAGUAAUCUGCUAUGAGAUGGACCCGCGUCGCAUUAGCUAGUUGGUGAGGUAACGGCUCACCAAGGCGACGAUGCGUAGCCGACCUGAGAGGGUGAUCGGCCACAUUGGGACUGAGACACGGCCCAGACUCCUACGGGAGGCAGCAGUGGGGAAUAUUGCACAAUGGGGGAAACCCUGAUGCCAGCAACGCCGCGUGAGUGAUGACGGUCUUCGGAUUGUAAAGCUCUGUCUUUAGGGACGAUAAUGACGGUACCUAAGGAGGAAGCCACGGCUAACUACGUGCCAGCCGCCGC
Molecule: ribosomal RNA, 495 nt
Filed under: uncultured bacterium
Lineage: Bacteria
Description: bacterial SSU rRNA
Rfam family: Bacterial small subunit ribosomal RNA
Source: RNAcentral